AUCUUUCUCUGGAACCGACUCUCAGUUGCAGAACCGAGUUUUGAGCUCGGUGUAAAGUUUAAAUUGCAGUCUACAAGCUGUUUCAAAGCAGCAGGCAUGGAAAGCUGUCAUCUCAGCCAUGAGUGAAAGAAAGCCCUGAGCAGGA
Molecule: long non-coding RNA, 145 nt
Filed under: Capra hircus (goat)
Lineage: Eukaryota; Metazoa; Chordata; Mammalia; Artiodactyla; Bovidae
Description: lncRNA (ENSCHIG00010020260.1)
Source: RNAcentral